AGUGAACGCUGGCGGUAGGCCUAACACAUGCAAGUCGAACGGCAGCACAGUAAGAGCUUGCUCUUACGGGUGGCGAGUGGCGGACGGGUGCGGAAUACAUCGGAAUCUACUUUUUCGUGGGGGCUAACGUAGGGACACUUACGCUAAUACCGCAUACGACCUACGGGUGAAAUCAGGGGAUCUUCGGACCUUGCGCGAUUGUAUGAGCCGAUGUCGGAUUAGCUAGUUGGCGGGGUAAAGGCCCACCAAGGCGACGAUCCGUAGCUGGUCUGAGAGGAUGAUCAGCCACACUGGAACUGAGACACGGUCCAGACUCCUACGGGAGGCAGCAGUGGGGAAUAUUGGACAAUGGGCGCAAGCCUGAUCCAGCCAUACCGCGUGGGUGAAGAAGGCCUUCGGGUUGUAAAGCCCUUUUGUUGGGAAAGAAAAGCAGCAGGUUAAUACCCCGCUGUUCUGACGGUACCAAAAGAAUAAGCACCGGCUAACUUCGUG
Molecule: ribosomal RNA, 492 nt
Filed under: uncultured bacterium
Lineage: Bacteria
Description: partial 16S ribosomal RNA
Rfam family: Bacterial small subunit ribosomal RNA
Source: RNAcentral